UUUGUUCCACUGGAGAGUACUCUUGUGUCAUGGAGCAACUGGCUUUUAUAUAUCACCCUAAUAAUAUCAAGUAAAUUUAUUGGACUAAAUGCAGUUUGUAUGUGCUGCCCUGCCCUGAUCAAUUUAAAUAAUAGACAGUGCGUUUCCCUCAAAAUAUAUGUGUGAUGGAGCAACUGCCUUUUAUUUAUCACCCUAAUAAUAUCAUGUAUUUUUAUUGGACUAAAUGCAGUUUGUAUGUGCUGCCCUGCUCUGGUCAAAUUAAAUAAUAGACAAAGCGUUUCCCUCAAAAUAUAGGCAGUACAUUCAGCCUUUGUUUUUAUUUGGUUCAUUAAGUUGCACGGAAAUUCGAAUCACUGAUACAUUUUGUUCAUGUCUUUAUUAUAGCGUACCAAGAGUGGUUGACUA
This 405-nucleotide unclassified non-coding RNA is filed under the name Coregonus artedi (cisco). RNAcentral describes it as "nontranscribed spacer". Lineage: Eukaryota; Metazoa; Chordata; Actinopteri; Salmoniformes; Salmonidae. The record is from RNAcentral.